UGGGGAAUAUUGCACAAUGGGCGCAAGCCUGAUGCAGCCAUGCCGCGUGUGUGAAGAAGGCCUUCGGGUUGUAAAGCACUUUCAGCGAGGAGAAAGGGUAGUGUGUUAAUAGCACAUUGCAUUGACGUUACUCGCAGAAGAAGCACCGGCUAACUCCGUGCCAGCAGCCGCGGUAAUACGGAGGGUGCAAGCGUUAAUCGGAAUUACUGGGCGUAAAGCGCACGCAGGCGGUUUGUUAAGUCAGAUGUGAAAUCCCCGCGCUUAACGUGGGAACU
RNAcentral lists this ribosomal RNA (275 nucleotides) under uncultured bacterium. RNAcentral's name for it is "partial 16S ribosomal RNA". It matches the Rfam family "Bacterial small subunit ribosomal RNA", at positions 355 to 622 of the family's 1533-position model. The record is from RNAcentral.